UCCUACGGGAGGCAGCAGUAGGGAAUCUUCCGCAAUGGACGAAAGUCUGACGGAGCAACGCCGCGUGAGUGAUGAAGGCUUUCGGGUCGUAAAACUCUGUUGUUAGGGAAGAACAAGUGCUAGUUGAAUAAGCUGGCACCUUGACGGUACCUAACCAGAAAGCCACGGCUAACUACGUGCCAGCAGCCGCGG
Molecule: ribosomal RNA, 192 nt
Filed under: uncultured bacterium
Lineage: Bacteria
Description: partial 16S ribosomal RNA
Rfam family: Bacterial small subunit ribosomal RNA
Source: RNAcentral